RNAcentral lists this ribosomal RNA (515 nucleotides) under Ctenisodes sp. JP-2014. RNAcentral's name for it is "partial 16S ribosomal RNA". The stretch from base 384 to 515 matches the Rfam family "Bacterial large subunit ribosomal RNA", at positions 2473 to 2605 of the family's 2925-position model. The record is from RNAcentral. Lineage: Eukaryota; Metazoa; Arthropoda; Insecta; Coleoptera; Staphylinidae.
GUCUUUAAGAUUAUAAUUUAAAGUUUAAUCUGCCCACUGAAAAAUAUUGAAUGGCCGCAGUAUAUUAACUGUGCGAAGGUAGCAUAAUAAUUAGUUUUUUAAUUAAAAGCCGGAAUGAAUGAUUGGACGAGAAAAUUACUGUUUCAAUUAAAUUUAUUUAGAAUUUUAUAUUUAAGUAAAAAAGCUUAGAUAUUAUUAAUAGACGAGAAGACCCUAUAGAGUUUUAUUUUUAUACAAAUUUAUUGUAAUUAGUAUUGUUUAGGUUUAUUUUUAUAAAAAUUUUAUUGGGGUGAUAUGAAAAUAUAUUAGGCUUUUUAUUAUUAUAACAAAAAUUAUUGAAUUUAUGAUCCUUUUCUAAGAUUAAAAGAUUAAAUUACCUUAGGGAUAACAGCGUAAUUUUUUUAGAGAGAUCAUAUCGAUAAAAAAGAUUGCGACCUCGAUGUUGGAUUAAGAUAUAUUUUUAAUGAAGAGAUUAGAAUAGUAAGUCUGUUCGACUUUUAAAAUCUUACAUGAUC